This 473-nucleotide ribosomal RNA is filed under the name Anthonomus pomorum (apple weevil). Its description in RNAcentral is "partial 16S ribosomal RNA". It matches the Rfam family "Bacterial large subunit ribosomal RNA", at positions 1821 to 2566 of the family's 2925-position model. Lineage: Eukaryota; Metazoa; Arthropoda; Insecta; Coleoptera; Curculionidae. The record is from RNAcentral.
CUUUUUGAGAAUAAUUUAAAGUCUGGCCUGCCCAAUGAGUAGUUUAAUGGCCGCGGUAUUUUAACCGUGCAAAGGUAGCAUAAUCAUUAGUUUCUUAAUUGGGAGCUUGUAUGAAGGGUUGAAUGAAAAAAUAGCUGUCUCUAUUUAAAUUAGUUAAAAUUUUAUUUUUAAGUCAAAAAGCUUAAAUAAUUAUUGAAGACGAGAAGACCCUAUAGAGUUUGAUAUUGGCAUUAUUUUGAUUCUUUGGGAUUUAAAGAUUUUUAUUAAUUCAGUAUUUUAUUGGGGUGAUUGAAAAAUUAAUUGAACUUUUUCUUUAUAUAAUCAUUAAUUUAUGAAUAAUUGAUCCUUAAAAAAGAUUAUAAGAUAAAAUUACCUUAGGGAUAACAGCGUAAUUUUUUUUUAGAGUUCUAAUCGAAAAAAAAGAUUGCGACCUCGAUGUUGGAUUAAAAUGAAAUUCUGGUGUAGCAGCUAGG